UACGUAGGGUGCAAGCGUUUGUCCGGAAUCAUUGGGCGUAAAGCGCGUGUAGGCGGUUCGGUAAGUCUGCUGUGAAAGUCCAGGGCUCAACCCUGGGAUGCCGGUGGAUACUGUCGGGCUAGAGUACGGAAGAGGCGAGUGGAAUUCCUGGUGUAGCGGUGGAAUGCGCAGAUAUCAGGAGGAACACCAAUAGCGAAGGCAGCUCGCUGGGACGUUACUGACACUGAGGCGCGAAAGCGUGGGGGAGCGAA
Molecule: ribosomal RNA, 251 nt
Filed under: uncultured bacterium
Lineage: Bacteria
Description: partial 16S ribosomal RNA
Rfam family: Bacterial small subunit ribosomal RNA
Source: RNAcentral